AUAACUUGAUCAAUUUCCUGACAAGGUGGCACUACAACUGAAUGAUACUCACCCCUCCCUCGCAAUUCCUGAGCUUAUGAGGGUUCUUAUUGAUGAAGAAGUUCUCAAAUGGCAAGAGGCGUGAGACAUCGCAUGCAAAGUCUUUUCCUUCACUGCCCACACAGUAGCUCCAGAAGGAUUAGAAAAAAAUCCUAGUUGAGCUGCUGAGUAACCUUCUUCCACGACAUUUGCAAGAAAUUAUUCAAGUGGGAGUAGAAGAUAACCUACAUGAUGGUCAAGAUUAGCUUACAUUAAUUUAUAGUUGUAGACAAUUUUGCAAGUGAUUUUAACACUAUGAAAUUGCAAGUGAUGUAAACACUAUGAAAGUAUGGUAUAAAUUUGUGUAGUUUGGCUGUGAAAGCUCUUCGGACAUAAUAUUUGUGUAUACUAUUUUGAGACCUAAUAGAAAUUUGUUGAUGUUUAAUUUU
Long non-coding RNA from Asparagus officinalis (garden asparagus), 467 nucleotides. RefSeq lists it as uncharacterized. The transcript has 3 exons. NCBI's taxonomy places the organism in Eukaryota, Viridiplantae, Streptophyta, Magnoliopsida, Asparagales, Asparagaceae. The record is from RefSeq and is a predicted model, not a curated record.